This is a long non-coding RNA of Helianthus annuus (common sunflower), 1440 nucleotides long. RefSeq lists it as uncharacterized. Lineage: Eukaryota; Viridiplantae; Streptophyta; Magnoliopsida; Asterales; Asteraceae. The record is from RefSeq and is a predicted model, not a curated record. The transcript is spliced from 5 exons.
UAAAACGAAAGUUUGAUUUUGGUGAUUCAGUGUUCUUUAAUUCAAGGUUACAUAUUUUUAACGAGGUUUAAUUUUGGUGCAUCAGUUGCAGGCUCUGCUGAGUUGCAGGGCUCUGCUGCAAUUGUUAAUUCCUUGGUCAUCUGCUGCAAUAGUUCAGCAUGAAGCUCAUUUUAAUUUAUCAUUUUAUAUGAGAUGUCAAAAAGAUUGUUUAACAUGCUUUCUUCAAUUUCAAUUUUCUAUAUUGUAUAUGAGGACUCAGUAAAGUCAAACCGUGGAAGCAAACCUUUAGGAAAUUACUAUAGAAAGAAAAAAGAUGAGUUAAAGAUCGGGGACCAGCCGUAAAUUACUAUAGUGAGAAAAAUUGAAGGCGCAAUUGCGAGAAGAGGGUAGUAGUGGCGGACAAAGACUAUGAUGCUUCAGUAUUUUAAUGGCACCGUUGCCAUCAGUGAUCCUGAAUCACCAGUAUCGACUUCAUUUUCAUGUUUUAAUUUAGCUCCCAGGUGCCAUCCUUGCGCAAGAAAGUUCACAUGGCCAAAAGUUACGGACAAGUCAACUGUCCCCACAAUAUUUUUGACUGGUUAACGGGUCAUUUGACCUUAAAUUGAAAUAUUUCACUGUUGGUUACCUUACAUAUAAGUUCUUCAAAUUGGACCAGAACUUUCGGUUUGUUAAUAGUCAAGAAAGAGUGUUUGCUAUUCAAGUGUUCGAGCUCCACAGAUUGAUAAAGUCACAAAACCGACUUUUGGGUUUCAUGCGCCUUCAAGAUUAGAAGGUAUCCCCCAAUCUCGACCGGAUUUACCCGAAACCUCACAUUUGAUGAAGAUACUGAGAAAUGUGGGGGCAGAGCGGCCUAAUUGGCCCCACGAGGACGAGCCAUUCAUGGGCGUGCACCAAAUGAGGCCAACAUCGCCAUCUCAUAUGGCGUAACCUGCGAAUGAAUUGCAGCUGUACCUAUCAAAAUUUUAUCUUAUAUGGUUCCUUCAUUUGGCAAAGAGGAGCCGGUUGACCAUCUCUUCGUGUCUUGCCACUUCGCCUCAAGGUGUUUGGGACCGGGUUGCAAGCUGAUGUCGUCUAACUGGGUUGUAUAUGUUUGAAAGCAAAGAUUUGGUCGGAUAUCAUUGCCGUGCGGGUGGGUCGACGGAAUGAAAAAAAUGGUGUACAGUAUAAUGCAGACUAGAAUGUGGAGUAUAUGACGUUGAAACAACUUAGCAUUCAACCAGAAGAAUCUGAAUAUGGGGAGUGCUGUAGAGGAGCUAAAAAGGUUGGGGUACCUUUGGAUAAAAAAAAGAUCAAAGGCACAGGCUUUGUCUUGGAAAAAAAGGAGCAUGUUUCAUUGAAAUUGUUGUGACUUUGGUUAUUUGUUCACACUGUUUGUAUCUGGAGUGAGGGAUAAUAUGUUGUCCCAAAUUUUAUUCCAUUAAAUUUGAAGUCAUUUGCGUA